CCUACGGGGGGCUGCAGUGGGGAGUAUUGGACAAUGGGGGAAACCCUGAUCCAGCCAUGCCGCGUGAGUGAUGAAGGCCUUCGGGUUGUAAAGCUCUUUUAGCGGGGAAGAUAAUGACGGUACCCGCAGAAUAAGCCCCGGCUAACUUCGUGCCAGCAGCCGCGGUAAGACGAAGGGGGCUAGCGUUGUUCGGAAUUACUGGGCGUAAAGGGCGCGCAGGCGGCUUUGCAAGUCAGGCGUUAAAGACCCAGGCUCAACCUGGGGAAUGCGCUUGA
This 275-nucleotide ribosomal RNA is filed under the name uncultured bacterium. RNAcentral's name for it is "partial 16S ribosomal RNA". It matches the Rfam family "Bacterial small subunit ribosomal RNA", at positions 338 to 630 of the family's 1533-position model. The record is from RNAcentral.